AGUGAACGCUGGCGGCAGGCCUAACACAUGCAAGUCGAACGGCAGCACAGUAAGAGCUUGCUCUUACGGGUGGCGAGUGGCGGACGGGUGAGGAAUACAUCGGAAUCUACUUUUUCGUGGGGGAUAACGCAGGGAAACUUACGCUAAUACCGCAUACGACCUACGGGUGAAAGCAGGGGAUCUUCGGACCUUGCGUGAUUGAAUGAGCCGAUGUCGGAUUAGCUAGUUGGCGGGGUAAAGGCCCACCAAGGCGACGAUCCGUAGCUGGUCUGAGAGGAUGAUCAGCCACACUGGAACUGAGACACGGUCCAGACUCCUACGGGAGGCAGCAGUGGGGAAUAUUGGACAAUGGGCGCAAGCCUGAUCCAGCCAUGCCGCGUGGGUGAAGAAGGCCUUCGGGUUGUAAAGCCCUUUUGUUGGGAAAGAAAAGCAGCAGGUUAAUACCCCGCUGUUCUGACGGUACCCAAAGAAUAAGCACCGGCUAACUUCGUG
Molecule: ribosomal RNA, 492 nt
Filed under: uncultured bacterium
Lineage: Bacteria
Description: partial 16S ribosomal RNA
Rfam family: Bacterial small subunit ribosomal RNA
Source: RNAcentral